This 259-nucleotide long non-coding RNA is filed under the name Elaeis guineensis (African oil palm). RNAcentral describes it as "long non-coding RNA (EGUI_LNC043905)". Lineage: Eukaryota; Viridiplantae; Streptophyta; Magnoliopsida; Arecales; Arecaceae. The record is from RNAcentral.
GUUUGGGAUAAUUAAGUUUUACUACGGAUGGUGAGCUUAGUCAGGAUUUGAUCCUAUAGUCACUUUCUGAUUUCUUCUCACAGUUUGUCAUAAACUAUUAUAUGAACAAACUAAAUAUUAGCCUGCCUAAACUGCUGAAUAUGCUUAAAACAAUACAAAGCAAUUUCAAGAGUGAAAAGGCUCUAGUACUUCUUGUAGAUAAGAUCUCCAAGAAGAAAGACAAGAAGGGUUCUAAGAAAAAGAUGAAUCUUAAGGCUAG